Molecule: ribosomal RNA, 393 nt
Filed under: uncultured bacterium
Lineage: Bacteria
Description: bacterial SSU rRNA
Rfam family: Bacterial small subunit ribosomal RNA
Source: RNAcentral
AUUGAACGCUGGCGGCAUGCCUUACACAUGCAAGUCGAACGGCAGCACGGGAGCAAUCCUGGUGGCGAGUGGCGAACGGGUGAGUAAUAUAUCGGAACGUGCCCAGUCGUGGGGAUAACGUAGCGAAAGCUACGCUAAUACCGCAUACGAUCUAUGGAUGAAAGCGGGGGAUCGCAAGACCUCGCGCGAUUGGAGCGGCCGAUAUCAGAUUAGGUAGUUGGUGAGGUAAAGGCUCACCAAGCCGACGAUCUGUAGCUGGUCUGAGAGGACGACCAGCCACACUGGGACUGAGACACGGCCCCAGACUCCUACGGGAGGCAGCAGUGGGGGAAUUUUUGGGACAAUGGGCGCAAGCCUGAUCCAGCAAUGCCGCGUGCAGGAUGAAGGCCUCGG